This 482-nucleotide ribosomal RNA is filed under the name uncultured bacterium. RNAcentral's name for it is "partial 16S ribosomal RNA". It matches the Rfam family "Bacterial small subunit ribosomal RNA", at positions 38 to 507 of the family's 1533-position model. The record is from RNAcentral.
GGGGGGGGGGGGGGGCGGGCGGGACACAGGCAAGGCGAACGGUAACGGGCCUUCGGGUGCCGACGAGUGGCGGACGGGGGAGUAAUACAUCGGAACGUGCCCGAUCGGGGGGGAUAACGAGGCGAAAGCUUUGCUAAUACCGCAUACGAUCUACGGCUGCAAGCCGGGGACCGCAAGGCCUUGCGCGGACGGAGCGGCCGAUGGCAGAUUAGGUAGUUGGUGGGAUAAAAGCUUACCAAGCCGACGAUCUGUAGCUGGUCUGAGAGGAUGAUCAGCCACACUGGGACUGAGACACGGCCCAGACUCCUACGGGAGGCAGCAGUGGGGAAUUUUGGACAAUGGGCGCAAGCCUGAUCCAGCCAUGCCGCGUGCAGGAUGAAGGCCUUCGGGUUGUAAACUGCUUUUGUACGGAACGAAAAGCCUUCUUUUAAUACAGGAGGGUCAUGACGGUACCGUAAGAAUAAGCACCGGCUAACUACGUG